RNAcentral lists this ribosomal RNA (468 nucleotides) under uncultured bacterium. RNAcentral's name for it is "partial 16S ribosomal RNA". It matches the Rfam family "Bacterial small subunit ribosomal RNA", at positions 28 to 507 of the family's 1533-position model. The record is from RNAcentral.
GACGAACGCUGGCGGCGUGCUUAACACAUGCAAGUCGAACGGAAAGGCCCUGCUUUUGUGGGGUGCUCGAGUGGCGAACGGGUGAGUAACACGUGAGUAACCUGCCCUUGACUUUGGGAUAACUUCAGGAAACUGGGGCUAAUACCGGAUAGGAGCUCCUGCUGCAUGGUGGGGGUUGGAAAGUUUCGGCGGUUGGGGAUGGACUCGCGGCUUAUCAGCUUGUUGGUGGGGUAGUGGCUUACCAAGGCUUUGACGGGUAGCCGGCCUGAGAGGGUGACCGGCCACAUUGGGACUGAGAUACGGCCCGGCCUCCUACGGGAGGCAGCAGUGGGGAAUAUUGCACAAUGGGCGGAAGCCUGAUGCAGCAACGCCGCGUGCGGGAUGACGGCCUUCGGGUUGUAAACCGCUUUCGCCUGUGACGAAGCGUGAGUGACGGUAAUGGGUAAAGAAGCACCGGCUAACUACGUG